UACGAAGGGUGCAAGCGUUACUCGGAAUUACUGGGCGUAAAGCGUGCGUAGGUGGUCUGUUAAGUCUGAUGUGAAAGCCCUGGGCUCAACCUGGGAAUUGCAUUGGAUACUGGCAGGCUUGGGUGCGGAAGAGGGAAGCGGAAUUUCCGGUGUAGCGGUGAAAUGCGUAGAUAUCGGAAGGAACAUCAGUGGCGAAAGCGGCUUCCUGGUCCAGCACCGACGUUCAGGCACGAAAGCGUGGGGAGCAAACAGG
Molecule: ribosomal RNA, 253 nt
Filed under: uncultured bacterium
Lineage: Bacteria
Description: partial 16S ribosomal RNA
Rfam family: Bacterial small subunit ribosomal RNA
Source: RNAcentral